RNAcentral lists this ribosomal RNA (753 nucleotides) under uncultured Sediminibacterium sp. Its description in RNAcentral is "bacterial SSU rRNA". It matches the Rfam family "Bacterial small subunit ribosomal RNA", at positions 28 to 774 of the family's 1533-position model. The record is from RNAcentral. Lineage: Bacteria; Pseudomonadati; Bacteroidota; Chitinophagia; Chitinophagales; Chitinophagaceae.
GAUGAACGCUAGCGGCAGGCUUAAUACAUGCAAGUCGUGGGGCAGCGCAGAGUAGCAAUACUUGGGCGGCGACCGGCAAACGGGUGCGGAACACGUACACAACCUUCCUACAAGUGGGGAAUAGCCCAGAGAAAUUUGGAUUAAUACCCCGUAACAUAACGAUGUGGCAUCACAUUGUUAUUAUAGCUUCGGCGCUUGUUGAUGGGUGUGCGGCUGAUUAGAUAGUUGGCGGGGUAACGGCCCACCAAGUCUACGAUCAGUAGCUGAUGUGAGAGCAUGAUCAGCCACACGGGCACUGAGACACGGGCCCGACUCCUACGGGAGGCAGCAGUAAGGAAUAUUGGUCAAUGGGCGAAAGCCUGAACCAGCCAUGCCGCGUGAAGGAUUAAGGUCCUCUGGAUUGUAAACUUCUUUUAUCUGGGACGAAAAAAGGCGAUUCUUCGUCACUUGACGGUACCAGAUGAAUAAGCACCGGCUAACUCCGUGCCAGCAGCCGCGGUAAUACGGAGGGUGUAAGCGUUAUCCGGAUUCACUGGGUUUAAAGGGUGCGUAGGCGGGCAGGUAAGUCAGUGGUGAAAUCCUGGAGCUUAACUCCAGAACUGCCAUUGAUACUAUCUGUCUUGAAUAUUGUGGAGGUAAGCGGAAUAUGUCAUGUAGCGGUGAAAUGCUUAGAUAUGACAUAGAACACCUAUUGCGAAGGCAGCUUACUACGCAUAUAUUGACGCUGAGGCACGAAAGCGUGGGGAUCAAACA